Molecule: ribosomal RNA, 709 nt
Filed under: uncultured Providencia sp.
Lineage: Bacteria; Pseudomonadati; Pseudomonadota; Gammaproteobacteria; Enterobacterales; Morganellaceae
Description: bacterial SSU rRNA
Rfam family: Bacterial small subunit ribosomal RNA
Source: RNAcentral
AGUCACGCUGUAAACGAUGUCGAUUUGGAGGUUGUUCCCUUGAGGAGUGGCUUCCGGAGCUAACGCGUUAAAUCGACCGCCUGGGGAGUACGGCCGCAAGGUUAAAACUCAAAUGAAUUGACGGGGGCCCGCACAAGCGGUGGAGCAUGUGGUUUAAUUCGAUGCAACGCGAAGAACCUUACCUACUCUUGACAUCCAGAGAAUUUAGCAGAGAUGCUUUAGUGCCUUCGGGAACUCUGAGACAGGUGCUGCAUGGCUGUCGUCAGCUCGUGUUGUGAAAUGUUGGGUUAAGUCCCGCAACGAGCGCAACCCUUAUCCUUUGUUGCCAGCACAUUAUGGUGGGAACUCAAAGGAGACUGCCGGUGAUAAACCGGAGGAAGGUGGGGAUGACGUCAAGUCAUCAUGGCCCUUACGAGUAGGGCUACACACGUGCUACAAUGGCGUAUACAAAGAGAAGCGACCUCGCGAGAGCAAGCGGAACUCAUAAAGUACGUCGUAGUCCGGAUUGGAGUCUGCAACUCGACUCCAUGAAGUCGGAAUCGCUAGUAAUCGUAGAUCAGAUGCUACGGUGAAUACGUUCCCGGGCCUUGUACACACCGCCCGUCACACCAUGGGAGUGGGUUGCAAAAGAAGUAGGUAGCUUAACCUUCGGGAGGGCGCUUACCACUUUGUGAUUCAUGACUGGGGUGAAGUCGUAACAAGGUAACCA